RNAcentral lists this ribosomal RNA (120 nucleotides) under Pogona vitticeps (central bearded dragon). The record is from RNAcentral. Lineage: Eukaryota; Metazoa; Chordata; Lepidosauria; Squamata; Agamidae.
ACCGUAGGCAAGUGCCACCUUGAACACACCCAGUCUUGUCUGAUUUGAGAAGCUAUGCAAAGUCAGCCCUGAUUAGUACUUGGUUGGAACAUUACCUGGACAGACCAAGAAUCUCCAGUU